RNAcentral lists this transfer-messenger RNA (349 nucleotides) under Peptostreptococcus canis. RNAcentral's name for it is "Standard tmRNA". It matches the Rfam family "transfer-messenger RNA". Rfam says of the family: Bacterial tmRNA, also known as 10Sa RNA or SsrA, is named for its dual tRNA and mRNA-like properties. Lineage: Bacteria; Bacillati; Bacillota; Clostridia; Peptostreptococcales; Peptostreptococcaceae. The record is from RNAcentral.
GGGGAUGUACCGGUUUCGACGUGGGUUUUGAACUUGAGGUUGCAUGUCGUGUUACUCUGGGUCACGUAAAAACUGGGGAAAUUAAAACAAACGCAAACGAAAAUAAUUUAUUAGCUGCCUAAGCAGCUCGUCCUUCUUAAUCCUCCUGCCGAUUAAGAACUGACGCCAUUUAUGCAGGGAACUACUUUAGGGGUGUCUUGACCUAAAAGUCGAUUUAUUAAGACUGGACUCAUUUGAAUCCUGUCACUCGGAGUCAAAUGAGUCAAGAAAAUAAAAGAGAUGGCUAAACAUGUAGAUACAGCAGGGAAUAGAUUUACGGACAGGGGUUCGACUCCCCUCAUCUCCACCA